AUCCCCUACCCCCACCUAAUCCACCUACUCCCAACAAACCUCUGCACACACCCACUUACACACUCCAAUUUUAUUUUCAACACAAUACUCACUAACAAAACACCACAAAAGAAUAGACACAACACAACACAAUACAUAGACUCCACGCCAUACACACUUACUCCUCUAUUUUCCAUUUUUUUCUAAGAUUACACACACUAAUAUAUGCGCGUACACACACGAGAAUGAGGGGAAAAAAAGGUGACAGAGAGAAUAUUGAGAGUGGGAGAUCGAGAGAGAGAGGGGAAAAGAGGAGAGAAACAGUGGAGAAGCAAUUUUUCGAUGAAUUCUCGCCGGGAAAUGUCACCGCCACUGGAAAUUUGACCUAUUCUCUGGUUCCCGCCACCGCCUGUGCUCGAUGGAGCUCUGACAAUAUACAAACGACAAAUCCAGCUCUAAUUUGGUGAAGACCUACCAGAAAAAAGGUCAACUGGACCAAGACGCUGCUACUCCGAUGAAAUCCAUCGAAAAAAACAAAACAGUGACCAAAAUUAGUCGCAACAGUGUAUGCGCCACUUGACGGCGCUAUGAGUUGGGCUGUGGUUAUUGGUAUUUGUUUUGAGAUGCAGAUUUGAUGGUUGAGGUUCAGGUUUGACUCGCGGCUUUGGAAUACGAAUUUCAUAUUUUCAUUCAAAUAAUAUUUGAGUUUGAAAGCUUCAAAUUAAGGUCCAAUUCUACUCUUUUUCCUCUUUUUAUUUCAUUAUUUGGUGAUAUUCAGUUCAUUGAAUUGAAUAUUGUGUGUUGGUUGAUCCCUGUUGGUGAUGAAUAAUUGCUUGGGUUGAUGCAUUAUUGAUUCACUCAAUUAUAGAAUGUAUGAUGAAACGACAUCUUAUGUGGGAAUUAAAACUAUGAUUAGUUUGGAAUGAAUUUUGGGAAAAGGGAAUUGAAAAAUUGAUAAUGGUAAAUAUGGAUUUGUUUUUGAUUCAUUAUUAAUGGUUUAAUUCAGAACAAAAUGUUAAUAUUGUCCAACUCGAUAGUAUCAUGUUUUAGGUCGAGAAUUGAGAGACAAAUCUUAGGUUUGGGGUAGGCAAAUUUAGGACUUAUGGAAUAUUGAAUAUUUAAAAUGUUUGUUGAAUAGUUUGUCUUAUCUCAUUUGGAUCAAUUGUAUUCAUUUAGCCGGGGAAUGCCCCCAGGUUAUUUGUAUUAUUUCAUCCGAGGAAUGCCCCGACGGAGUUGUAUUUGAAGACGGUGCAUGAUCAAGGCUCGAGACACUGAGUGGGG
Molecule: long non-coding RNA, 1260 nt
Filed under: Capsicum annuum
Lineage: Eukaryota; Viridiplantae; Streptophyta; Magnoliopsida; Solanales; Solanaceae
Description: long non-coding RNA (CANN_LNC015849)
Source: RNAcentral